RNAcentral lists this ribosomal RNA (772 nucleotides) under uncultured Neocallimastigales. RNAcentral's name for it is "partial large subunit ribosomal RNA". It matches the Rfam family "Eukaryotic large subunit ribosomal RNA", at positions 24 to 632 of the family's 3401-position model. Lineage: Eukaryota; Fungi; Neocallimastigomycota; Neocallimastigomycetes; Neocallimastigales. The record is from RNAcentral.
GUAGUCUCGCACAGAUGCAUAUCAAUAAGCGGAGGAAAAGAAACUAACAAGGAUUCCCUCAGUAACGGCGAGUGAAGCGGGAAGAGCUCAAAUUUGAAAUCUUGAAAGGUCACCUUUCACGAAUUGUAGUUUAAAGAAGUGUUUUCUGUUACGAUCGUAAUAUAAGUUCUUUGGAAUAGGACAUCACAGAGGGUGAGAAUCCCGUCUAUGAUUGCGAUUUGUAGCUUUGUGUUACACUUUCAAAGAGUCGGGUUGUUUGGGAAUGCAGCCCAAAACGGGAGGUAAAUUUCUUCUAAGGCUAAAUAUUGGCGAUGAGACCGAUAGCGAACAAGUACCGUGAGGGAAAGAUGAAAAGAACUUUGAAAAGAGAGUUAAAUAGUACGUGAAAUUGUCAAAAGGGAAGCGUUUAACACCAGUGUUGUUUUCUGAAAAUCAACCUCUGUUAGCUUUAUGCAUGUUUGUUUAGACCUAAUCAGCUAUCUUGCAUGUUCUAUUGUUUGCAGUGGUGCACUUUUCAGUUUACAGGUCAACAUCAGUUUUUUUUACCGUAAAAAAGUUAGAGAAAGGUAGCUCAUGGCUCCGGUCGUGAGUGUUAUAGUCUUUUUCCUAUGCGGUAGGAGAGACUGAGGUCUGCAGUGUAGGCUAUUUGGCUAGAUACUCAGGUGCUAUGUGAUACCAUUUCAUAAACAACUUGUUGAUUAUGUUUUGUCUAUUGCAUACUCGCUUGUACUAUCAUACCUACGCUUAGGAUGUUGAGUCGUAGAGCACGCAG